UCGGGAAUUUUGGGCAAUGGGCGAAAGCCUGACCCAGCAACGCCGCGUGAAGGAUGAAAUCUUUCGGGAUGUAAACUUCGGAAGAAUAGGAAGAAUAAAAUGACGGUACUAUUUUAAGGUCCGGCUAACUACGUGCCAGCAGCCGCGGUAAUACGUAGGGACCAAGCGUUGUUCGGAUUUACUGGGCGUAAAGCGCGUGUAGGCGGGUCGUUAAGUUGGGGGUGAAAUCCCGAGGCUCAACCUCGGAACUGCCUUCAAAACUGGCGACCUGGACCCAAGUAGAGGCAAGUGGAAUUGCGAGUGUAGAGGUGAAAUUCGUAGAUAUUCGCAGGAACACCAGUGGCGAAGGCGACUUGCUGGACUUGUGGUGACGCUGAGACGCGAAAGCGUGGGGAGCAAACAGGAUUAGAUACCCGCGUAGUCCCUGAGCGGGCUGGCAAGGCGCAU
Molecule: ribosomal RNA, 447 nt
Filed under: uncultured bacterium
Lineage: Bacteria
Description: bacterial SSU rRNA
Rfam family: Bacterial small subunit ribosomal RNA
Source: RNAcentral